RNAcentral lists this ribosomal RNA (542 nucleotides) under uncultured bacterium. RNAcentral describes it as "bacterial SSU rRNA". It matches the Rfam family "Bacterial small subunit ribosomal RNA", at positions 777 to 1319 of the family's 1533-position model. The record is from RNAcentral.
AAUAGAUACCCAGGUAGUCCACGCCGUAAACGAUGAAUGUUAGCCGUCGGGCAGUUUACUGUUCGGUGGCGCAGCUAACGCAUUAAACAUUCCGCCUGGGGAGUACGGUCGCAAGAUUAAAACUCAAAGGAAUUGACGGGGGCCCGCACAAGCGGUGGAGCAUGUGGCUUAAUUCGAAGCAACGCGAAGAACCUUACCAGGUCUUGACAUCCCACUGACCGCUAUGGAGACAUAGUUUUCCCUUCGGGGACAGUGGUGACAGGUGGUGCAUGGUUGUCGUCAGCUCGUGUCGUGAGAUGUUGGGUUAAGUCCCGCAACGAGCGCAACCCUUGAUCUUAGUUGCCAUCAUUUAGUUGGGCACUCUAAGGUGACUGCCGGUGACAAACCGGAGGAAGGUGGGGAUGACGUCAAAUCAUCAUGCCCCUUAUGACCUGGGCUACACACGUGCUACAAUGGACGGUACAAACGGUUGCCAACCCGCGAGGGGGAGCUAAUCCGAUAAAGCCAUUCUCAGUUCGGAUUGUAGGCUGCAACUCGCCUAC